GAGAAGGUCCUGGGCGCCUGUGGAGUGACCUCGUCCAGACCGCCGCAGACCCGAUCGGCAAGUUCUUGGAGGUGCAGGAAGGUUCUCCAAGGAGUAGGACCAGAAAGGGAUGAGAGCGCGAGCGCGGUUAAUGUCGAGGCUGCUAAGUGAUGCUCGUUAAUUUCGCAGCAGGGUGUGACUGGCCCAGCCUUGACUCUCAGUUUCCUCUCUCAGUAAAUGGGCAUAAUAAUACCGGUCCAGCCUACGCUGGAGAAUUGUGAGGUGAAAAUGAAAUAAGGUAUGCAAAGGUACUUUGUAAGUAUAAAGCCCAUUUGACUUGGUGGCUCAAGCCUGUAAUCCCAGCACUUUGGGAGGCCGAGGUGGGCGGAUCGCUUGAGCUCAGGAGUUCGACACCAGCCUGGGUAACAUAGUGAAACCCCGUCUCUACAAAAAAGACAAAAACUAAAUGGGCAUGUUGGCGCGCGCCUGUAGUCACAAAUGCUCGGGGGGCUGAGGUGGGAGGAUCGCUUGAACCUGGGGAGUUCAAGAUUGCAGUGAACCGUGAUCGCGCCGCUGCACUCCAGCCUCUGCAGUGAGAGCAAGACACUGUCUCAAAAAAAUGUAUUUAUCUAUCUACAUAGAUAAGAGUCCUAGAAAUCCGGGUGCAGGUCUGACUGUAGCUGGUGUAGGAAAGUCAGUUAUCCCCGACGCUGGAGCAAGCUAGGGGACCGCCCUUGCAGUUGUUGGAGGAGACAAAUUGGGAAGGACUUAAUUCCGGGCAAAGGAAGCUUCAUGAGUAAAAGUAGAAAGUGAAAAUGGUCAGGAAAAGCAAGGCUUGGGGCAGGGAGACCCAUUUUUAGGCCAUUGCAGUACUCCAGACAAGUGAUAAGAACAUUAAACAAGGCAUUGGCAGUGGGAAUAGAGGAGGGGAUAGAUGUUAGCGCCAUUAAGGUGGUAGAAUUCACAGCACUGAGUGCGGAUAAAUGAGUAGGCCAGGUUUCUAGCAUGAGUGCUGAGGUAGACAGUGGUAACAUUUAGCAAGAUGGCAAGCUACAUGAGUCUUGAUUAUCCACAAGUGUCUAAGUUACUAUUAUAGAUAGUGAUGGUGACAUUUCUUAGGAGGAUGACCAGAUAUGUGGAGUAUGAUGAUGAGUUCAAAUAUGGAUAUGUUUGUUAGGGAAACAUUUACUCUCCAUUCACAAUGUCUUUCUUCCAUAUGGAAUGAUAUCCAUUAGUGUAAUACUCUCCUGGUUUCUCUUAUACCUGUCUGCAACUCACUCUUGCCUAGAGGAGUGACUUCCUGAUUGGUGAACUUAAAUGGGAGAAACUGGACAUGUGGCAUCUAUCCCAUUCUUUUUCUCUUAAAAGAUAACUAUCUUCAGGGAACUGUCCUGGUGUUCUUUUCCGUUUCUUCUGGAGCAGGGCCUGUGGGUAGGGACAAGGGUGCCUAGUCCAGGGCUACAAAGAGAGUAUAUGUAUUUAAUUCCAGAGUUUGGCAUUAGGAAGCUGUCUGUCCACAGAUAAUAUUUAAUACCAGCUUUGUCAGCUGUGUUACACAGAAUAAUGAUCCCCCCCAACCAAAAAAAAAAGGAUGACCACACCCUAAUACUCAGAACCCAUGAAUAUGUUAUAUUAUGUGGCAAAAGGGACUUUGCAGAUAUGAUUAAAUGAUGUAUCUAGGGAGAUUAUCCUGGAUUGUCUGACUGGGCUGGAGGCAGGAGGGUCAGAGUCAGAGAAGGAGAUGUGAUGAUGGAAGCAGAGGUCAGACAGAGAUUUGAAGAUGCUAUACUGUUGGCUUUGAAGAUGGACCCAAGAAACGCAAGCAAAUUGUAGAUGCGGGAGAAGGCAAGGAAAUGGAUUCUUCUCUAGCACCCUAAGAACACAGCCCUGCCAACACCUUGAUUUUAGGACUUCUGACUUCUAGAACUGCGAGAUAAGAAACUUGUAUGUUUUAAGGUACCAAGUUUGUGCUAACUUGUUACAACAGCAAUAGGAAACUGAUACAGUCAGUAAUAAAGAUAAUAGUUGGUUUCCUGCAGCUUUCUCCAUUACCUGGAAAAGAAGGGUACAAUUCAGUAGGUCCCCUCAGAGACUAUAGCAAUAUGACUGUGACCUGAUGGAACCUCCACAUCUAGAGAAAAAUGUCCAAUAAACACUCAAACUGUACAGGUCUAUGAAUGAGGAAAGAGGUUGAGUUAAAAUAGAUUUGGAAGAAAUAAAUUAAUAAUUGGUAAUUUAAGCCCGAGGCAUGGAUGAGAUCAAUCAGGGAGAAAAUACAGAAGACAUAAUAAGGAGAGGCAAGGAUAGGGCCCCUGGAGAGCACUAACUUUAAAAGGAGGUGCAGAUGAUCAGAAGCCCAAAAAGAAGUCUGAGGAAGAAUGGCCAGAGAGAGAAAAGGAGAACUAGGUGAGCCUAAUGCCUCUGAAGCCAAGCAAGCAAGAUGGAGAGGGGUCAACAGAGUCAGAGACCACAAAAAGGCCAAGUAUAUCAAGAACUGGAAAGCAUUCACUGGAUUUAGCAACAGAAAAGUGAUUGGUAACCAACAAUAGCAAACUUCAGUGGGAUAGUGGAGAUAGAUACCAAAUCACUGAGAUCUGAAAGGCAGAUCAAUAUAGUGGAUUGGCCUCUAGACUAGUUUGAUGGGAGUUUUGAGAUUCUAGUCUUGAUUCUGGCCAUUAACUAGCUAGAUAACUUUGAACAAAUCCCUCAACUACUCCAGGCUUUGGUUUUCGCAUCUGGCAAAGGAUGAGAUCAAGCUGAGUCUAUGAUUUUCUCAUUAAUUCCUAGAUAAUCCCCCCAGUUUUAUUUUUUUAUUUUUUGUCAUAUCUGAUUCAAUACUUUUAUUUAUUUUUAUUUUUUAUUUUUGAGACAGCAUCUUGCUCUGUUGCCCAGUGUGGAGUGCAGUGGUACAAUCUUGGCUCACUGCAGCCUCAACCCCCGGGCUCAAUCACCCCAAUUUCAUAUCAGACUCACUUGCUUAUAACAGCACACUUCAAAUCCUUCUCAGACCAUUUUCCAACCACUAAGAAUCAGUAUAUUUCAUGCCAGCUUCUGUCCUAGAUACUAUGGCUAUAACACAGUUUUCAAGGAACUCACAAUUUGGAGAGAGAGAGAGAAAUACUAAGUAUGUAACUAGCUGUCAUAGUUCUUUAAAAAAAAAAAAAGAAAAAAAAGUAAGGCCAGGCGCGGUGGCUUAUGCCUGUAAUCCUAGCACUUUGGGAGGCCGAGGCGGGUAGAUCACCUGAGGUCAAGAGUUUGAGAUCAGCCUGACCAAUAUGAUGAAAACCCGUCUCUACUGAAAAUACAAAAAUUAGCCGGGCAUGGUGGCAUAUGCCAUCAUCCCAGCUACUCAGGAGGCUGAGACAGGAGAAUCACUUGAAUCCGGGAGGCAGAGGUUGUGUAGAGCCAAGAUCUCGCCAUUGGACUCCAGCCUGGGCAACAAGAGCAAAACUCUGUCUCAAAAAAAAAAUUAAAAUAAGUAAAUAAAUAAAAAUAAAAAAUAAUAAGAUAGACCUGAUUGUGGUGGCUCAUGCCCCGUAAUCCCAGUGCUUUGGAAGGCCAAAAUGGGAAGAUCACCUGAGGCCAGGAGUUUGAGACCAGCCUGGGCAAUAUAGCCAGACACCCAUCUCUACAAAAAUUUUCUAAAAAUUAGCCAGGUGUGGUGGUGCGCACCUGCAGUUCUAACUACUUGGGAGGCUGAGGCAAGAGGAUUGGGUGAGCCCAGGAGUUUGAGGUUACAGUGAGCUAUUACCAGAUUACAGUGAGCUAUGACUGUGCCAGUGCACUUCAGCCUGGGCAACAGAGCAAGACCCUAAAAGCUAGAUAUAAAUAUAUUGUAAGUAUAAUACAAUAUACUAUAACAGAAUCUGUAUGAAGUGAAAUGAGGGAUAUAUAAAGUGAUACAGAUAAGGGCGCAGUUAGCUCUAUCUAAUGGAAGUCAAGAGUGUUGUACUUACCUACACUGUUAAGUAAACACAGUAUGCCUCAAAAAUGGACACAAAUAUAUUAAGGCAUUUCCAUGGAGGUAAAAAAAGAACAGGAGAAUUGUGCUAAACCAGCGUUGUCACCUAACAUUCCUUCUAGGUAGUUUUGUUGUGAUCUAAAUGAAUAUUUAUAUAUAACUGUUUCUAAACUAAAAUUGGUUAGUUGUUAAAAUGGACACAAAUAAAAGUUAAAUGCAAGAAUAAUUUAUAUUUUUCCAGUAGAUUCAAGAGGAAAUAUUUUUUGUCACUAAUGCCAUGCUUUAAUACAUUUGCUUGUCUAAUCCUCAUGUAUUAUCUUACUUAAUUUUGUAAACAUUAGCUUAUUGUAUAGAUCACUGACAAAGUAUCUGUUUUAGCAGAUAGGGACAAAGUUUAAAUAAUUUGGCCAAGGUCAUAGUAGACCAAGAUUUGGACCCAGCACAAGCAUCCUCUUUCCAGGAAACCUUCCCUCAGGCCCUUAGUUGGUUUAAGUGCCCUCUCUCUGUACUAUUAGCAUAUGCACACACAUUCAUUUUAGCGUUGACUUUAAUAAUAAGGAUGUUUACCAUGUACCAGAUACAUAGUACUUGCACCUAUGUUAUCUAUGUUUAAGUGUUUUGUAGGCAUUAGUUCAUUUAAGCCUCAUAACUGCCCUUUGAAGUAGGUGAUAUUAUUCACAAUAUUUUAUAAAACAGGAAGCCAAGGCAUAGAAAGUUAAGUAAUUACUCAAGGUACAAUUAAUAAGUGAUAAAGCUAGGAUUCGAAUCCAUGCUUUUAACCCCCCAGGCUUCAUACUAUGUACCCUUUCCCUUAUACUGAGGAAUUCUAGAAGGCAUAGUUGACAGGUUGUUGUGUGUGAUAUCACUCUGUGUUCCUCAUAUGAACACAAGAGAAUUUUCUCUCUGAGCCACAAGUCAUGAAAUAUUUGGCUACCCUUGAGUAACUGAUGUGUUUUCUCUUUAUAGGCAAUGUGAAUUAUAUAACUGCCUGUUUUUCACUUUUCACUUUGCCAAGAAGCUCUGAGUAAAUUUGUUGGCUCAGCGUUUGUAAGUGGGUGAAUUGGCCUGCAUAUCUGUAUUCUGUUGCUUUGAAAUUUUUAAAAAUAAAUAGUUGAGAGAAAAAUAAUGUAAAUUUUCUUUAUUUUCCAAAUUGUUGACAAUGUACAAUGAUAAUUUUUAUAAUUAGAAAAAUAAACUUUGUUCUUA
Molecule: long non-coding RNA, 5146 nt
Filed under: Homo sapiens (human)
Lineage: Eukaryota; Metazoa; Chordata; Mammalia; Primates; Hominidae
Description: non-protein coding lnc-DNAH8-2:6
Source: RNAcentral